CGCCACGCCCGCUCAAGAAACUACAAAGGACUAGUUGGACGGGGGCCCCGCACAAGCGGUGGAGUAUGUGGUUUAAUUCGAUGCAACGCGAAGAACCUUACCUGGUCUUGACAUCCCGGAGACCCUUAGGAAACUAGGGGGUGCUUCCAUCUGGAAGAAUCUGGAGACAGGUGCUGCAUGGCUGUCGUCAGCUCGUGUCGUGAGAUGUUGGGUUAAGUCCCGCAACGAGCGCAACCCUUGCCUUUAGUUGCCAGCAGUUCGGCUGGGCACUCUAAAGGGACUGCCGGUGUUAAACCGGAGGAAGGUGGGGAUGACGUCAAGUCAGCAUGGCCCUUACGUCCGGGGCUACACACGUGCUACAAUGGCCGGUACAAAGGGUUGCGAAGCCGUGAGGUGGAGCGAAUCUCAAAAAGCCGGCCUCAGUUCGGAUUGGAGGCUGCAACUCGCCUCCAUGAAGUCGGAAUCGCUAGUAACCGCAGAUCAGCUACGUUGCGGUGAAUACGUUCCCGGGCCUU
Molecule: ribosomal RNA, 515 nt
Filed under: uncultured Desulfobulbus sp.
Lineage: Bacteria; Pseudomonadati; Thermodesulfobacteriota; Desulfobulbia; Desulfobulbales; Desulfobulbaceae
Description: bacterial SSU rRNA
Rfam family: Bacterial small subunit ribosomal RNA
Source: RNAcentral